This 575-nucleotide ribosomal RNA is filed under the name Hanseniaspora opuntiae. RNAcentral's name for it is "partial large subunit ribosomal RNA". It matches the Rfam family "Eukaryotic large subunit ribosomal RNA", at positions 73 to 670 of the family's 3401-position model. Lineage: Eukaryota; Fungi; Ascomycota; Saccharomycetes; Saccharomycodales; Saccharomycodaceae. The record is from RNAcentral.
GAUUAGUACGGCGAGUGAGCGGUAAAAGCUCAAAUUUGAAAUCUGGUACUUUCAGUGCCCGAGUUGUAAUUUGUAGAAUUUGUCUUUGAUUAGGUCCUUGUCUAUGUUCCUUGGAACAGGACGUCAUAGAGGGUGAGAAUCCCGUUUGGCGAGGAUACCUUUUCUCUGUAAGACUUUUUCGAAGAGUCGAGUUGUUUGGGAAUGCAGCUCAAAGUGGGUGGUAAAUUCCAUCUAAAGCUAAAUAUUGGCGAGAGACCGAUAGCGAACAAGUACAGUGAUGGAAAGAUGAAAAGAACUUUGAAAAGAGAGUGAAAAAGUACGUGAAAUUGUUGAAAGGGAAGGGCAUUUGAUCAGACAUGGUGUUUUUUGCAUGCACUUGCCUCUCGUGGGCUUGGGCCUCUCAAAAAUUUCACUGGGCCAACAUCAAUUCUGGCAGUAGGAUAAAUCAUUAAGAAUGUAGCUACCUCGGUAGUGUUAUAGCUUAUUGGAAUACUGCUAGCUGGGAUUGAGGACUGCGCUUCGGCAAGGAUGUUGGCAUAAUGGUUAAAUGCCGCCCGUCUUGAACAAGGAACAAA